UGGGGAAUAUUGCACAAUGGAGGAAACUCUGAUGCAGCGACGCCGCGUGAGGGAAGAAGGUUUUCGGAUUGUAAACCUCUGUCCCGAGGGACGAUAAUGACGGUACCUCGGGAGGAAGCCACGGCUAACUACGUGCCAGCAGCCGCGGUAAAACGUAGGUGGCAAGCGUUGUCCGGAAUUACUGGGUGUAAAGGGAGCGUAGGUGGGCGCGCAAGUCUAAUGUGAAAUCUAUGGGCUCAACCCAUAAAUUGCGUUGGAUACUGUGCGUCUUGAGUGAAGUAGAGGCAGGCGGAAUUCCCGGUGUAGCGGUGGAAUGCGUAGAUAUCGGGAGGAACACCAGUGGCGAAGGCGGCCUGCUGGGCUUUUACUGACACUGAGGCUCGAAAGCGUGGGGAGCAAACA
Molecule: ribosomal RNA, 402 nt
Rfam family: Bacterial small subunit ribosomal RNA